UUCAAUCACCUAAAGACGAGAAAAAAAAUGAGAGAAAGAGGAGAGUGGGGGGAGAUAGUGCGUGGGAGCAGGGAAAGAUUCCGUGGUAGAAAUAUUCAAAGCCUCUGCUGGUUUUUCUUUCUCUUCUCCUCCCCAUUAACCUGCAUUCAAUUUGUCUGUUAUAUUUUGAUUUUGAAAACCCUAGAUCUCCCGAUCCUCUCACUCUUUUCAAUCGCUCUUCCUUCUCUUACCUGAAUCUUCAAAGGAAUAUAGGUUUCCAUCUCUCACUUGUUUCUCUAGGCAGCCCAUCUGCUUCUGUUCUCUUUUGAUUUCACCGUUAAAUCGUUGCUGGCUCUGGUUGCGAUGAAGUGAAUUUCUUGGACAUUUUAGAUGGCUUCGUCUUUGGUGUAUUAUUUCCCCAUUUAAUCUAUGGUUCUACUCACCUUUUCUGGUUUCAGGUUUUAUUCAUGCAUCCUUGCGUUGGGAACAAUCUUUGUUUAGGUCGUAAGAUUGUUGGGGUUCAUUUGGAGAGAUCUCUCUUGACAAAUGAAGAGGUCGGAGCGGCUAUGAAUGAACGGAGAUGAAGAGAGCAGAUGGAAGAAAAAGAGAAUAGCUUAGGGUUUCAACCUUAGCCACUGGAUUUUUUUUCCGCCAUGUGUUCCAAGAUGGUUUUGAUCCCUUUUCAAAACCAAUGGGUAAUCGACAAACUUGUUUGAUGUCAUGUUUCAGUUAGUAAGACACGUUAUCUCUGGUAGAAGUCAUAAAACUCUUCCUCCACGUUAUGUCUCUGAUUUUUUUUUUCUUGUCAAGAUAGAGCCGAGAUAACGUAGAACUCUCCACUAUAGUCUUUUGAAAUCUCUUUUUCCUCUGUUGGCUUGACAGAGAUAGGUUGCUGGUGUUCUGUCCUAAACUAUUUUUCCCGAAAUAUCCUCUGUUAGCUUGACAGAGAGUAGUCUGUAUUGAAAUAUCAACUCAACUAAGCCUUAUCCCGACAGAAGAGGUGGACUAAAUGCAUCUAGUAUACCUUUUUUUCCUGUUGCAAAAAUAUUAAAUUUCUCUCAUCUAUGCUCCAUAUUUCACUUCUUAUUGGCACUCUAAUGCCUUUGUUGUAUAUGCAUUAAAAUAUUGGAUUACAAUGCUGUCAUUGAAUUCAUUAUGCUUUUGUUUGCACUCAAUAUGUUAAAAUGUGUUCAACUUGAUCAUAAUUGAACUUAGAGACAUCCCUUCAUCAGUAGCUGCUGCCAUUGCUGAAGGUUGCAUAGAUCCAAUUACCAUGGAAGCCUUUGAUAACUCAAAGAAACCGAAAAGUUGUCUGGACCCAAAUGUAACUUGAGUUUCUGAUCAAAUCCUAAAAGCGGAGGCCCAUGUCGUGAUAUCUGCGCAAGAGAGGUGCUUAUCCAUAUUUUCUUCUUGUGAAACAAUAGAUAAAAAGAAUACAGGCAAGCUUACUUUUAAACACGCAACUUCAUCGUUUAUAGAGAAGCUUUUCCACUGUGUUGUGUGUGUUGUCUACUUCUUAUUGUUUAUUUGGUAAUAUAUUAGUCAUAAUGGGACCUCAAUUAUGUGAAGAUUGCUUGGCAUGACAAAUGCCACUCUAAUCUUGUUCUAUCUUGUCUGUGUGCAUGUUGUGCAUAUUUUGUGGUAAGCUCUAUUUUUACAAACUUUUAGUCCUUCUGUCAUGAACAGAUACAGAGCAGAAGGUGAUUGGAUAAGAGGAGAUAUUUGAAGGAAGCUGCUACCCUUGAAAAACUAAUAGCCCCUUGAGAAUUCCACCAGAAAGUUGAUGAAAUUGUAGAAAAAAGAGAAUUUCCAGACAACAACCCCUUCAAGAAAAGAAAAGCUGUUGAUUUUUUGGAACAAAUUGCAAACCACCACUGAACAAGCUUCAAAGGUGAUAGGUGCUGAAGAAUCAGAUAAGGUUAUAUAGAAAGGAGAGUUUCUCAAAAACCCAUUCAAGAAAGAACUUGAUUCGCAGUUGGAGCAGAGGCAGACAACCAAAGUUUCUCAAAAACUCAUUCAAGAAAGUAAGAGUUUCUCAAAAACCCAUUCAAGAAAGUAAGAGUUUCUCAAAAACCCAUUCAAUAAGGUAAAACUUGAUUCUCAGUUGGAACAGAGACAGACAACCACUGAACAAGUUUCAGAGGUAAUAGAUGUAGAUGACUUGGAUGAGACGAGUGCUACCCCAGAAUCCCAAUAGACCGUAAAGGCUAAGCCAAUGACUGGUCAUCCCUAAUAAGACAAAAGAGGGACAUAAGAAGAGAUUAAAUAGUAAGAUGAGUUGCAAGAGUUCUGAGUGUAAGAAUAAUAGUACUCUUAAUUUCUUUACAUGAUUGUAGUAAUUAUUCCCCAAUUUUUAUGGGUAUUUUACAUCAGUUUUGACAUUGAUCUUAUGUAUAGCUUCACUAAAGCUUCACCACUUUUUGCUACCAUGAGUGACAGCCAUGUCAAUCCAUUAAAUGGUGUUUAGUCUGUUGACAUAGUGAAAGGAAUUAUAAAGUUGCUUUUUUAAAA
Molecule: long non-coding RNA, 2490 nt
Organism: Macadamia integrifolia
Lineage: Eukaryota; Viridiplantae; Streptophyta; Magnoliopsida; Proteales; Proteaceae
Exons: 2
Source: RefSeq, a predicted model, not a curated record